Molecule: long non-coding RNA, 721 nt
Organism: Solanum dulcamara
Lineage: Eukaryota; Viridiplantae; Streptophyta; Magnoliopsida; Solanales; Solanaceae
Exons: 2
Source: RefSeq, a predicted model, not a curated record
AAUUCUCCUACUUUUUAAUUCCAACAACACGCCUACAACUUGACACCAUACACAUGGCAAUAUAAAAAAACUCACUCAACAAUAAAUAUUGGGCUGACUACAAAUGCGGAGGGAGGAGAACAACAACAUUCCAAUGAGGGGAUUUCGCUGGAAUAGCAAGGAAAAUCUUCCAAAAAGUUUUUUUUUCUCGAGUCGAAAGAAUUUUAAAUCUGGAGUUUUUCAGUUCGUAUUAAUACUCUCCGAUAAAUUUCUACUCAUGGUGAAAGAACAAACUUUCAUCUCUCGUCUCAUUUCCUGCUCCAAAAGAGGGAUUAGCCACGGAGGUUAAAUUUUUAUCACCAAGUUAACCUCGUCAACGAAACUCGGUGUAUAGGUUCCCAUAUCUGGUUUGCGGGUGUUGGAGCAAUAAAAUGGACUAAUAUACAGUCUGUAUAUCUAAUAUAUAUGAAAUACAAUGGGGAAAAUUUGAAAUAUACACUGAUAUAAAGCAGCGGCAUACAAAGUGAAAUGAGCCAAAGAUCCAAAAUACAGGCGGCCCAACAACUUAAUCCAGGCGUACAAAAACUACGUAUUUGGCCAGAGUUUCAUUACUUUAUUCAUUUAUAUUUAAUUUGGGCUGUAAUAAUUUAUUUAUGUAUUUAUUUUAUUUAUUUUGCUUAGAUGUUAAUUGUAGUUAGGUUUAACUUAUUAAAUCUCCCUAAAAAGGAGUUCUUAUGACUAA